GUGAAGAAGAACCAUACUAAGAAUAGAAACCAGUAAUUUUUGAACUGAAGUACUCAACUUAGAAGACACUUAAGGAGGAAGGAAAAGAUUUGGAAUAGACUUUCUGGUGAGAGAGCAGAUCUGUCAGGAAGAUAUAAAAGGAUUGAUUGCCUUCUCUAGGCUCAGGUGUGUAUGGAGGAAGAGGAAGGGAUAUUUCUUUUCUCCCUGCUUUUCCUCAACAGUGGCAUCUUAUAGAAGAGGAACUUGCCCAGGGAAACUCUUUGCCAAGUCAAAAGUGGACUUAGAGAGUCUGGCAAUAAAGUUCAAUACAUGAUGCUGCAUUUCAACCAACUGAAAUUUUCCAUCAUUCUCCAGUGUCUGCGGUGGUCUAUUAAUAUCAGUUGCUGUGAUAGAAAAGACAGGUGGCUGGAUCUAUGGGGUCAUGGGUAGCUUGCUCUCAGCAGGAGAUAAAUUACAUGCUUAGGAAAGGACAACCAUAGUGUUUGUCCUCGGCAACAGAGGAAAACUCUUGUCAG
Molecule: long non-coding RNA, 515 nt
Filed under: Monodelphis domestica (gray short-tailed opossum)
Lineage: Eukaryota; Metazoa; Chordata; Mammalia; Didelphimorphia; Didelphidae
Description: lncRNA (ENSMODG00000046466.1)
Source: RNAcentral